AAGGCGGCGGCGGCGGCCG
This 19-nucleotide microRNA is filed under the name Tribolium castaneum (red flour beetle). Its description in RNAcentral is "tca-miR-3885-5p". The record is from miRBase by way of RNAcentral. Lineage: Eukaryota; Metazoa; Arthropoda; Insecta; Coleoptera; Tenebrionidae.